AUUGAACGCUGGCGGCAUGCUUUACACAUGCAAGUCGAGCGGCAGCGCGGGGGCAACCCUGGCGGCGAGCGGCGAACGGGUGAGUAAUGCAUCGGAACGUACCCUGGAGUGGGGGAUAACGCCGCGAAAGCGGCGCUAAUACCGCAUAUGCUCUGAGGAGGAAAGUGGGGGACCGCAAGGCCUCACGCUCUGGGAGCGGCCGAUGUCCGAUUAGCUAGUUGGUGAGGUAAAGGCUUACCAAGGCGACGAUCGGUAGCUGGUCUGAGAGGAUGAUCAGCCACACUGGGACUGAGACACGGCCCAGACUCCUACGGGAGGCAGCAGUGGGGAAUUUUGGACAAUGGGGGCAACCCUGAUCCAGCCAUGCCGCGUGAGUGAAGAAGGCCUCGG
This 390-nucleotide ribosomal RNA is filed under the name uncultured bacterium. RNAcentral describes it as "bacterial SSU rRNA". It matches the Rfam family "Bacterial small subunit ribosomal RNA", at positions 28 to 420 of the family's 1533-position model. The record is from RNAcentral.